RNAcentral lists this ribosomal RNA (465 nucleotides) under Vreelandella stevensii. RNAcentral's name for it is "partial 16S ribosomal RNA". It matches the Rfam family "Bacterial small subunit ribosomal RNA", at positions 338 to 795 of the family's 1533-position model. Lineage: Bacteria; Pseudomonadati; Pseudomonadota; Gammaproteobacteria; Oceanospirillales; Halomonadaceae. The record is from RNAcentral.
CCUACGGGGGGCUGCAGUGGGGAAUAUUGGACAAUGGGGGGAACCCUGAUCCAGCCAUGCCGCGUGUGUGAAGAAGGCCCUCGGGUUGUAAAGCACUUUCAGUGAGGAAGAACGCCUGGUGGUUAAUACCCAUCAGGAAAGACAUCACUCACAGAAGAAGCACCGGCUAACUCCGUGCCAGCAGCCGCGGUAAUACGGAGGGUGCGAGCGUUAAUCGGAAUUACUGGGCGUAAAGCGCGCGUAGGUGGCUUGAUAAGCCGGUUGUGAAAGCCCCGGGCUCAACCUGGGAACGGCAUCCGGAACUGUCAAGCUAGAGUGCAGGAGAGGAAGGUAGAAUUCCCGGUGUAGCGGUGAAAUGCGUAGAGAUCGGGAGGAAUACCAGUGGCGAAGGCGGCCUUCUGGACUGACACUGACACUGAGGUGCGAAAGCGUGGGUAGCAAACAGGAUUAGAUACCCCGGUAGUC